AUUAAAAAGUAAAACCUUGGUUAUUAGUAGUUAAGGUCUUGAAAACUAAGAAAGAUGGCGGUAUCUUAGUCUAUUUAGAGGAAUCUGCCCUGUAAUUGAUAUUCCACGAGUUAAUUUACUUGAGAUUUUAGUUUAUAUAUCGCUGUAGGUUGAAUAUUUCUGUAGGAUUAAAAUAUUCAUGAUUUUGGGAGAAAGUAAAUCAAGUCAAGAUGUAGCGUAUUCUUAAGAAGAGGUGGAUUACAUUAAUUUUAUUUGUGGUUAGGCAUAUGAAAAAAUGUACUAUAAAAUGGAUUUGAUAGUAAUUUAUUAGUAAGAUUUAGUAAAUGAUUCUAGCUCUAGGAU
Molecule: ribosomal RNA, 342 nt
Filed under: Tricosa metacuneola
Lineage: Eukaryota; Metazoa; Arthropoda; Insecta; Coleoptera; Curculionidae
Description: partial 12S ribosomal RNA
Source: RNAcentral